CGCGGCCGCGAAGGCCGGGCGGCAAGAGGGCCUGAGGAAGGCAGCUGGCGGCGGACAGUUUCCCGAAGGCACACGGGGUCGCGAGACGGCUUCACCGGAAACGCCCGGACUGUAUCGUGUUACAUCGGGUGUCCGCGGGCGGAAAGACGAGCUUGGGAGGCGGCGGAGGAGGGGCUCACCGAUUCAGGGAGCCGAAGGUCUUGGGGGCGUCCCCCCGAGCGGCGGGGCCAGCCUGCGCGCCGGGCGGAGGGCGCAGGGCGGAGGGCGCAGGGCCGGCGGUGGGGAGGGGCGGGGAGGCGUGUCUGGGGGCGGGGCGGCCGCAUGGAUUCUCUCCGCCUCCGGCACCUGCGUCUCUGGGUGCUUCUGGGGAGGAACCGUGUCCUGGGCUGCGUCCCUCGAGCUCCCCGUGCCUGGGACAUGGUUUCCCUACAGCUCUUCCUCACCUGGCAGAUACUCUGCACCCUGCUUGGCUGUCACUUCUUGCAGAAAGCCUGCCUUAAGGGCCCUGCCGCCCCCGCCCCCAGUCUCGGUAGCGGCCUUCCUACGUAUUUCAUCCCACCCGCACCGGUCCGGCGCGCCCGCGGGUAGGAGAUGCUCCGCAAAGGUUUGCUCGCUGAAUUAAAGAUGCGCAAGAGGGACUGAAUCAGAGAAGAAGUUAGGAGGCUGCUGGCCCGAUGCGGGGGUGAAGAAGGGAAGAUCUGGCCAGGGGCGGCAGGACACCAGAGAGGAGAGGCGACUGCCGGGGAUGCUCUGGGCGGGCAUCAAGGCCCGUCGAUGCGUUAAGGCCUCUGGCCAAGUUGGGGUAAAGGUUCCCCCUGUGGCGAAGACCGCCGGCUGCCCGCUCAGCCUUUCCCGUCCGCCCUCCUAAGAGAGGUUCCGUGUGUAGCGGGGGAGUUGAUGUUGCUUUCAUCUGGUCUCAGAAGAGCUAGGCGGUAUCGUGGGUGUAAGACUGAAGCCCCGUCGGUCGUUUCACUCUGCAGCACGGGAAGCCUGAUGGCAGGUGCUGCCCGAGCCCUCCGGAUGCCAGCCCCUGGGCUGAGGGCUCUCCGUGUAUUAGCGCAGUUAAUUCCCUCGAGGGCCGAGGGCCGGUGAGGUGGGUAUUGUUGUUGUCAGUAUCUAGGGCCAGGAGUAGGGGGAGGCCGGGGAGGCACUCUCCUUGGGGGAGGGAGGGAUUGACGGGAGUGCCCCCGCCCCAAUCUUCAGUAAGCAAGAUAAGUCAUGUUUUACUUCUCUUUUAAUAAUAUUUAUUUCUCUUGAUAAAUAAAUCUUCUCUUGAUUAUAAGAUAAUCGAGAUAUUUAUCUUGACUACUGGGUCUUUGGCGCUCCCUUAAAUCUUGUUGCCAAGGCGGGUGCCUCACUCGUUUUACUCCACUCUGAUCCCCGCCUUGUUAUUAUCCACCCCCCCGUCCUAUUGACCUGAACUGUCACAGCCACGUGUAGCUCUGGAGCACUGGAAAUGGGGUCGGUCCUAUAAAUGUGAUUCCUGGAGAUGGCUGGAAGUGUAAAAUACACAUGGGAUUUCGAAAAGACUUAGCAUACACGUUGUAAACACGUUUAAAAUCUCAAUUUUAAAAAUGUUGGUUACAGGGGCCGGCCCGGUGGCGCAGUGGUUAAGUUCACACGUUCCACUUCUCGGCGACCUGGGGUUCGCUGGUUGGGAUCCCGGGUGUGGACAUGGCACUGCUUGGCACGCCGUGCUGUGAAAGGGGAUCAUGAUAACAGCUCUCCGCUUCGGGGACUUGUGAAGCUACCCGUGGAAACGACAGGCAUAUGGGAAUCUCGUGAUAAGUGCGCUCUAGGAAAAGUCCCCCGCCCGUCGGUCACAUGGAGAGAACAUCCGUUUUACGGUGUUGUGAAGAGUCUUCCCCUGCCCGCCCCGGGCAUCCCUGCUUCCCGUCCCACUUUCCCUGGCUUUAUUUUCCUGCCAGCUGCCGAGUCGUUCCGGACGCCCGCGAGCAUCCCACGGCACAGAGAGAGGACUACAGACACGGCCGUGCGGGCACACAGGCGCACAGUUAGAUUCGCAACUGUACCGACGGUGUUGGCCUAUCUGCUUCUCGCCUCGACGGCAGAGACUCUGUUUGCUCCUCCGUCCCCAGCACCUGGGACGGUGCUCGGCACGGCCUUGGCGCUUGAGGAAUAUUUGUGGAAGGAAAGGAGGAGGGUCAAAUGAGACGACAUCUCACGUGCUCAGCCUGCACCUGACACGACUCUUCGGGCCUCCCCAUCCCAGGAUCCCUGUUCAGCUCUGCGUGUCUCAGACCAUCUUCUGCUCAGACUUUGGUUUCCCUGAGAAGGGGGUUGCUGCGGUCUGAACCCCGCUACCCUGUUCAUCUCUCGCGGGCCUCCUCCUUGUCCUGCCUGUUCUCCUGGCCGUUGGGGCAGGUGUCUUAGUCUCAAGCCUGGGUCGGCAACUCCCCGAGGGCAGGAACGGUGUCUGGCCCGUCUCUGCUCCCAGCUCCCACCCAGGUGUGUCACAUCACGUUACAGGCGGCCCAGUGUUUGGUCGGUUCGAAUCCUGGGCGGGGACAUAGCACCGCUCAUCGAGCCACGCUGAGACGGCGUCACGUGCCACAACUAGAAGGACCCACAACUAAGAAUAUACAGCUAUGUACCGGGGGGCUUUGGGGAGA
This 2633-nucleotide long non-coding RNA is filed under the name Equus asinus (donkey). RNAcentral describes it as "lncRNA (ENSEASG00005023704.1)". Lineage: Eukaryota; Metazoa; Chordata; Mammalia; Perissodactyla; Equidae. The record is from RNAcentral.